GAAACCACUGAGCUAAAUCCCCGGCCAGCUAGAGGCUUUUUAGAUCAUCAGUUCUAAGUGACUAGGUCACUCCCCGCCCCCUCCUCCAAGUGUGUUUCCAAAGAUUUAGAGAAGAAGGAGUUUUCAGGGAGCACUCAUAAGAGCAAAGUGGAGGGUUGAGUGUGAUCUGGCUGGUAGACAGAAGAUACAAAGAUGCCAAGGGGACAUAGGACAAAGUAACAAAAAACCCAACUCAGAAAAGGACAUUUACUGACUAAACAACCAAAGAAGUAUUAUGUACCUGCCUAUCAGACUGACAAAAUUUUUAAAGUCUGAUGUUAACAAUCAUUGGUGAGGAUGUGAAGAAACAAGACCUCAUGGUGAUGAGAAGAUAAAGAAAUACAACUACUUUAGAAAGCCAUUUGAAUGAACAGACUACAUGAAUGAUAAGAUAAAUGGAGCUGAAAUGAGGGAAGAGGUGGGGGGACCUUUACCUCUAUUUGAACCAGUCUGCAUACUGUCUUCAGGGAAGCCAGGCG
RNAcentral lists this long non-coding RNA (518 nucleotides) under Heterocephalus glaber (naked mole-rat). RNAcentral describes it as "lncRNA (ENSHGLG00100036270.1)". Lineage: Eukaryota; Metazoa; Chordata; Mammalia; Rodentia; Bathyergidae. The record is from RNAcentral.